GUCAGCAACCCCUGACUUGAAGUCGGGGGCUUCAGGCGACUCCGCCUCAGCCCUAGUUGACCAGACUAUCCGUUUAGGGCAAGAGUUAAAAGACCCACUUCAGGAUGCUUGCUAGUCCUGAACCUUGGAAUCAAGCGAUUAAACAGGCUUAAGGGGUUAAACCAGUGUCGCUUGAAGAGUUACCGACCCUAAACAAAGUCGAAGCAAACCUUAC
This is a non-coding RNA of Chroococcidiopsis thermalis PCC 7203, 214 nucleotides long. It matches the Rfam family "HNH endonuclease-associated RNA and ORF (HEARO) RNA". Lineage: Bacteria; Bacillati; Cyanobacteriota; Cyanophyceae; Chroococcidiopsidales; Chroococcidiopsidaceae. The record is from Rfam.